Molecule: ribosomal RNA, 496 nt
Filed under: uncultured bacterium
Lineage: Bacteria
Description: bacterial SSU rRNA
Rfam family: Bacterial small subunit ribosomal RNA
Source: RNAcentral
ACUCAAAGGAAUUGACGGGGGCCCGCACAAGCGGUGGAGCAUGUGGAUUAAUUCGAUGCAACGCGAAGAACCUUACCAGGGCUUGACAUGGAGAUGAAACAUCUAGAGAUAGAUGCCCCUUCGGGCAUCUCACACAGGUGGUGCAUGGUUGUCGUCAGCUCGUGUCGUGAGAUGUUGGGUUAAGUCCCGCAACGAGCGCAACCCUUAUCUUUAGUUUCCAGCAAGUAAAGUUGGGCACACUAGAGAGACUGCCGUGGAUAACACGGAGGAAGGUGGGGAUGAUGUCAAAUCAUCAUGCCCCUUACGUCCUGGGCUUCACACGUGCUACAAUGGUCUUUACAAAGUGAAGCAAGACAGUGAUGUGGAGCGAACCACAAAAAAAGACCCCAGUUCGGAUUGUAGGCUGCAACUCGCCUGCAUGAAGUUGGAAUCGCUAGUAAUCGCGAAUCAGCAUGUCGCGGUGAAUACGUUCCCGGGCCUUGUACACACCGCCCGU